Long non-coding RNA from Branchiostoma belcheri (Belcher's lancelet), 343 nucleotides. RefSeq lists it as uncharacterized. The transcript has 3 exons. The record is from RefSeq and is a predicted model, not a curated record. Lineage: Eukaryota; Metazoa; Chordata; Leptocardii; Amphioxiformes; Branchiostomatidae.
AUAAUUAGGGUCAGCAGUCCUGAUGUUCCUGUCCAAACCAGGCCUCAGCCAACCAGCUGACUUAAAGUUAAAGACAGACCAAAGUGAAGAGAUUGUAUACAGGUGUGUCCUGAUGUUCCUGUCCUGACGUCCCUGUCCUGAGUAGGAGAAACAUGUGAUGAUGGACAACUUCUGUCCACACCAGACCAAAUGAUGUCUUGGCAAACCUGUUGACCUGAAGACACAGUGAAGAGUUUGUACAGUUAUGCGUUUCUUGACGUUCCUGUCCUGACUGGGAGAAACCUGUGAUGACGGUUGACUUCUGUGUAAACCAGAUCAGAUCAGGUCCUGGAGUUUGUACCUG